This is a long non-coding RNA of Canis lupus familiaris (dog), 336 nucleotides long. RefSeq lists it as uncharacterized. The transcript is spliced from 4 exons. NCBI's taxonomy places the organism in Eukaryota, Metazoa, Chordata, Mammalia, Carnivora, Canidae. The record is from RefSeq and is a predicted model, not a curated record.
CUCUUGCAGAUCUGAUGAAGCACCUUGAGUGCUCUCCGAGUACUGAAGCAGCCUUGCACCCCAGGGAUAAAGCCUACCGGGUCAUGAUCUGCUAAGUCAUGUGGCGUGCUUUCCAAGUGUUGAACCAGCCUUGCAUCCCUGGUAUAAAUUCCACCUGGUCAUGAUCUGAUGAAGCACCUUGAGUGCUUUCUGAGUGCUGAAGAAGCCUUGCACCCCGGGGAUAAAGCCCACCGGGUCAUCAUCUGAAGAAGCACAUGGAGUGCUCUCCGAGUGCUGAAGCAGCCUUGCACCCCGGGGAUAAACCCCACUGGGUCAUGGUGAGUAACUUCUUAAUAA